Molecule: long non-coding RNA, 365 nt
Filed under: Mytilus galloprovincialis (Mediterranean mussel)
Lineage: Eukaryota; Metazoa; Mollusca; Bivalvia; Mytilida; Mytilidae
Source: RNAcentral
GUUCAUGAUAGAUAUAAUUGUAAGAAGCAAAAUCGUUCAGUAAAGUAAGAACUUCAAACACAUCACCAUCACCAAAAUACAAUUUUGUCAUGAAUCCAUUUGUGUCCUUUGUUUAAUAUGCACAUAGACCAAGGUGAGCGACACAGGCUCUUUAGAGCCUCUAGUUUUAUUUGAGAUCACUGACCUAUGACCUCAAAAUUGAGGUCAAGGUCAAAGGUCAAUUUGACGUUCUAGAUUUUGACAUUUGCUAAAAAUACUUUCUGGUUCAUUAUAAAACAAUUAAGUCUUCUGCAUAAACCUAUUAAUCUUAUUUUUUUAUAUCAGUUUGAUUUACCAUAUUAUAUCAACACGGAGUGACAUUUUCU